AAACUGAAGAGUUUGAUCAUGGCUCAGAUUGAACGCUGGCGGCAGGCCUAACACAUGCAAGUCGAGCGGCAGCGGGUCCUUCGGGAUGCCGGCGAGCGGCGGACGGGUGAGUAAUGCAUGGGAAUCUGCCCGGUAGUGGGGGAUAACUCGGGGAAACCCGAGCUAAUACCGCAUACGUCCUACGGGAGAAAGCAGGGGAUCUUCGGACCUUGCGCUAUCGGAUGAGCCCAUGUCGGAUUAGCUUGUUGGUGAGGUAACGGCUCACCAAGGCAACGAUCCGUAGCUGGUCUGAGAGGAUGAUCAGCCACACCGGGACUGAGACACGGCCCGGACUCCUACGGGAGGCAGCAGUGGGGAAUAUUGGACAAUGGGGGAAACCCUGAUCCAGCCAUGCCGCGUGUGUGAAGAAGGCCCUAGGGUUGUAAAGCACUUUCAGUGGGGAAGAAGGCAUGACGAUUAAUACCCGUCAUGAAGGACAUCACCCACAGAAGAAGCACCGGCUAACUCCGUGCCAGCAGCCGCGGUAAUACGGAGGGUGCAAGCGUUAAUCGGAAUUACUGGGCGUAAAGGGCGCGUAGGCGGCUUGCCAAGCCGGAUGUGAAAGCCCCGGGCUCAACCCGGGAACGGCAUUCGGAACUGGCAGGCUAGAGUGCAGGAGAGGAAGGUGGAAUUCCCGGUGUAGCGGUGAAAUGCGUAGAGAUCGGGAGGAAUACCAGUGGCGAAGGCGGCCUUCUGGACUGACACUGACGCUGAGGCGCGAAAGCGUGGGUAGCAAACAGGAUUAGAUACCCUGGUAGUCCACGCCGUAAACGAUGUCGACCAGCCGUUGGACCCCUUGAGGGUUUGGUGGCGCAGUUAACGCAAUAAGUCGACCGCCUGGGGAGUACGGCCGCAAGGCUAAAACUCAAAUGAAUUGACGGGGGCCCGCACAAGCGGUGGAGCAUGUGGUUUAAUUCGAUGCAACGCGAAGAACCUUACCUGCUCUUGACAUCCUGCGAAUCUCCCAGAGAUGGGAGAGUGCCUUCGGGAACGCAGAGACAGGUGCUGCAUGGCUGUCGUCAGCUCGUGUUGUGAAAUGUUGGGUUAAGUCCCGUAACGAGCGCAACCCCUAUCCCUUUUUGCCAGCGGUCCGGCCGGGAACUUCAGGGAGACUGCCGGUGACAAACCGGAGGAAGGUGGGGACGACGUCAAGUCAUCAUGGCCCUUACGAGCAGGGCUACACACGUGCUACAAUGGCCGGUACAAAGGGUUGCGAAGCGGCGACGUGAAGCCAAUCCCAUAAAGCCGGCCUCAGUCCGGAUCGGAGUCUGCAACUCGACUCCGUGAAGUCGGAAUCGCUAGUAAUCGUGGAUCAGAAUGCCACGGUGAAUACGUUCCCGGGCCUUGUACACACCGCCCGUCACACCAUGGGAGUGGACUGCACCAGAAGUGGUUAGCUUAACCUUCGGGAGAGCGAUCACCACGGUGUGGUUCAUGACUGGGGUGAAGUCGUAACAAGGUAGCCGUAGGGGAACCUGCGGCUGGAUCACCUCCUUAAACGA
Molecule: ribosomal RNA, 1541 nt
Filed under: Kushneria konosiri
Lineage: Bacteria; Pseudomonadati; Pseudomonadota; Gammaproteobacteria; Oceanospirillales; Halomonadaceae
Description: bacterial SSU rRNA
Rfam family: Bacterial small subunit ribosomal RNA
Source: RNAcentral